ACCCGCUGAACUUAAGCAUAUCAAUAAGCGGAGGAAAAGAAACCAACAGGGAUUGCCUCAGUAACGGCGAGUGAAGCGGCAACAGCUCAAAUUUGAAAUCUGGCCCCUUCGGGGUCCGAGUUGUAAUUUGCAGAGGGUGCUUCGGUGGAAGUCCCGGCCCAAGUCCCUUGGAACAGGACGUCAGAGAGGGUGAGAACCCCGUGUCCAGCCGGCGACGCUCCCCGCGUGAAGCCCCUUCGACGAGUCGAGUUGUUUGGGAAUGCAGCUCUAAAUUGGUGGUAAAUUCCAUCUAAAGCUAAAUACCGGCCAGAGACCGAUAGCGCACAAGUAGAGUGAUCGAAAGAUGAAAAGCACUUUGAAAAGAGAGUCAAAAAGUACGUGAAAUUGUUGAAAGGGAAGCGCUUGCGGCCAGACUCGCCCGCGGAUGUUCAGCCUGCCUUCUGGCGGGUGCACUCUUCCGCGGUCGGGCCAGCAUCGGUUUGGGCGGCCGGACAAAGGCCCGGGGAACGUGGCCCCCUUCGGGGGGUGUUAUAGCCCCGGGUGCAAUGCGGCCAGCCCGGACCGAGGAUCGCGCUCUGCUAGGAUGCUGGCGUAAUGGCCGUAAGCGGCCCGUCUUGAAACACGG
This 625-nucleotide ribosomal RNA is filed under the name uncultured fungus. Its description in RNAcentral is "eukaryotic LSU rRNA". It matches the Rfam family "Eukaryotic large subunit ribosomal RNA", at positions 23 to 664 of the family's 3401-position model. The record is from RNAcentral. Lineage: Eukaryota; Fungi.